Molecule: ribosomal RNA, 275 nt
Filed under: uncultured bacterium
Lineage: Bacteria
Description: partial 16S ribosomal RNA
Rfam family: Bacterial small subunit ribosomal RNA
Source: RNAcentral
CCUACGGGUGGCAGCAGUUAGGAAUUUUGCGCAAUGGACGAAAGUCUGACGCAGCGAUGCCGCGUGAGGGAUGAAGGCCUUCGGGUUGUAAACCUCUUUUAGUUGGAGCGAAAAAAAUGACGGUACCAACAGAAUAAGCACCGGCUAACCCUGUGCCAGCAGCCGCGGUAAUACAGGGGGUGCAAGCGUUACUCGGAAUUAUUGGGCGUAAAGCGCGUGUAGGUGGUUUUUUAAGUCUGGUGUGAAAUCCCUGGUCUCAAGCCAGGAAGUGCAUU